Molecule: ribosomal RNA, 446 nt
Filed under: uncultured bacterium
Lineage: Bacteria
Description: partial 16S ribosomal RNA
Rfam family: Bacterial small subunit ribosomal RNA
Source: RNAcentral
CCAGACUCCUACGGGAGGCAGCAGUGGGGGAGAGUGAACAAUGGGGGGAACCCUGAUGAAGCGACGCCGCGUGGGUGAAGGAGCACCUCGGUGCGUAAAGGACUAGCGGCAGGGAAGAAACAGACGGUAACCGACUAAGAAGCCCCGGCUAACUACGUGCCAGCAGCCGCGGUAAUACGUAGGGGGCAAGCGUUAUCCGGAUUCACUGGGUGUAAAGGGAGCGUAGACGGCGACGCAAGUCUGGAGUGAAAGCCCGGGGCCCAACCCCGGGACUGCUCUGGAAACUGCGGCGCUGGAGUACGGGAGGGGCAGGCGGAAUUCCUGGUGUAGCGGUGAAAUGCGUAGAUAUCAGGAGGAACACCGGCGGCGAAGGCGGCCUGCUGGACCGUGACUGACGUUGAGGCUCGAGAGCGUGGGGAGCAAACAGGAUUAGAUACCCCUGUAAU